This 465-nucleotide ribosomal RNA is filed under the name uncultured bacterium. RNAcentral describes it as "partial 16S ribosomal RNA". It matches the Rfam family "Bacterial small subunit ribosomal RNA", at positions 338 to 795 of the family's 1533-position model. The record is from RNAcentral.
CCUACGGGUGGCAGCAGUGGGGAAUAUUGCGCAAUGGGCGAAAGCCUGACGCAGCGACGCCGCGUGAGGGAUGAAGGUCUUCGGAUCGUAAACCUCUGUCAGCAGGGAAGUACGGUCACUGUGCUAAUCAGCAGUGAAUUGACGGUACCUGCAAAGGAAGCAUCGGCUAACUCCGUGCCAGCAGCCGCGGUAAUACGGAGGGUGCGAGCGUUAAUCGGAAUUACUGGGCGUAAAGCGCUCGUAGGCGGUAUGUCAAGUCAAGGGUGAAAUCCCCGCGCUCAACGUGGGAACUGCCUUUGAAACUGGCAGACUGGAGUGUGUGAGAGGAUAGUGGAAUUCCAGGUGUAGGAGUGAAAUCCGUAGAUAUCUGGAGGAACAUCAGUGGCGAAGGCGACUAUCUGGCACAUAACUGACGCUGAGGAGCGAAAGCGUGGGUAGCAAACAGGAUUAGAUACCCGGGUAGUC